UUGGAGGGCAAGUCUGGUGCCAGCAGCCGCGGUAAUUCCAACUCCAAUAGCGUAUAUUAAAGUUGUUGCAGUUAAAAAGCUCGUAGUUGAAUUUCGGGAUCAAUAUGCUGGUCGUGCCUUUGGUACGUACUGGUAUUAUUGGUUUCUCCUUUCUGAUGAAUCACGAUGUCAUUAAUUUGGUGUCAUGGGGAAUCAGGACUGUUACUUUGAAAAAAUUAGAGUGUUUAAAGCAGGCUUACGCUUGAAUACAUUAGCAUGGAAUAAUGAAAUAGGACGUUUAAUUCUAUUUUGUUGGUUUCUAGGAUUGACGUAAUGAUUAAUAGGGAUAGUUGGGGGCAUUAGUAUUCAAUUGUCAGAGGUGAAAUUCUUGGAUUUAUUGAAGACUAACUACUGCGAAAGCAUUUGCCAAGGAUGUUUUCAUUAAUCAAGAACGAAAGUUAGGGGAUCGAAGACGAUCAGAUACCGUCGUAGUCUUAACCAUAAACUAUGCCGACUAGGGAUCGGGUGAUGUUAAUUUAUGACUCAUUCGGCGCCUUACGGGAAAC
Molecule: ribosomal RNA, 545 nt
Filed under: uncultured Glomeromycotina
Lineage: Eukaryota; Fungi; Glomeromycota
Description: SSU rRNA
Rfam family: Eukaryotic small subunit ribosomal RNA
Source: RNAcentral